UAUUAUAUUUGAUGAAAACUAUAUCUAUAUUUUCAAAUGUAAAAAAAAAAAAGGAAUUCUUAAAUAUUAAAGUUUAAAUAAUGAUUUGUCCUUAAAUUAAUUUCUCCUGCCACCAAGCGGCAAUACACGCACGCCGCCGUGAACUCCACACAUAUAAAACAAGAAUCUGCACAUCGCUGGUGGAAAUAGCCGAGCGCCCAUCUCAACUCAUCUAUCUAUCUGUUAACAAGCCUGCUCAAUUUGGUGCUCUUAUUCCCUCGAGGCAGAGUAGUUUCAGAAACAGAACUACCGACGAGUUCACUUCUACCUUUUGCUGUAUUUGAGUUGCAGAGAAAUGGUGUUAUGCUAUCCUUCAACGCCAAAGAAAUUGGCAAUGACAGUGGGAUGCUUCGUUGCUGGAACAGCCCUUUUUGCUAUUGGCUCACAUCUCUCCUACGUCUACAUUGCUCCUCAACAAGCCCGCAUCAAAGCUCGGAAUGAUUUUGUGAAAGAACGAUUGAGAAAGAAACGGAGCAAUGGAUAGAACCAUGGUUGAUGCUUGCUGCUCUAGUCUGUGCUAUUGGGACUCGUAUAAUGCCUAUUCUCUGCUGUUUACUUUUGUUAUAAAAGAGUUUUGCGUUUAAAUGCCUAUACGGUAAACGGGUAAUGUCGUUGGCUGUUUCUUGAUUCAGCGAUGUGAACAUGACUGGUUUUCGACUACAUUUUGUGUGUUGAUGACUCGGCUAGUUUUCUGAACUAGUCGGGUUCGUAUCCGAUCUUUACACCGUUUAGUAAACAGUUUGAGCAGGCUAUUCAUUAACACCUUCAAUUGGAAUAAAAAAUUUCACUGUUCAAUUCAA
This is a long non-coding RNA of Manihot esculenta (cassava), 839 nucleotides long. RefSeq lists it as uncharacterized. The transcript is spliced from 3 exons. The record is from RefSeq and is a predicted model, not a curated record. NCBI's taxonomy places the organism in Eukaryota, Viridiplantae, Streptophyta, Magnoliopsida, Malpighiales, Euphorbiaceae.